This 253-nucleotide ribosomal RNA is filed under the name uncultured bacterium. RNAcentral's name for it is "partial 16S ribosomal RNA". It matches the Rfam family "Bacterial small subunit ribosomal RNA", at positions 524 to 776 of the family's 1533-position model. The record is from RNAcentral.
UACGUAGGGUGCGAGCGUUGUCCGGAAUUACUGGGCGUAAAGAGCUCGUAGGUGGUUUGUCGCGUUGUUCGUGAAAACUCACAGCUUAACUGUGGGCGUGCGGGCGAUACGGGCAGACUGGAGUACUGCAGGGGAGACUGGAAUUCCUGGUGUAGCGGUGGAAUGCGCAGAUAUCAGGAGGAGCACCGGUGGCGAAGGCGGGUCUCUGGGCAGUAACUGACGCUGAGGAGCGAAAGCGUGGGGAGCGAACAGG